ACUGUGUGAUUCCAUGGAGGAGCUGCCUAGAAUAGUGAACUUCAUAAACAGACGGUAGAAUAGAUGUGACCAGGGGCUGGGGAACAGCGUAUGGAGAGUCAGUGCUGAAUGGAUGUGGAGUUUCCGUUUGGGACGAUGAGAAAGUUCUGGAGAUGGAUGGCGGUACAACAUUGUGGAUGCACUUAAUGCCACUGAACUGAAUACUUAAAAAGGGUGACUUUUAACACCCACGUGUAUGCCAUGUGUAGAGGGACACGUACAAAGGGAAGCUGAUUGAAGACAUAGGGAGAAUGCCAUCCACAGCCAGGAAUGCCAAAGCCUGCAGCAAACCCCCAGACCCAGUGGAGAGGCAUGGGACAGACCCCCUCACAGUGCUCAGAAGCAGCCUCUGGCUUCUGGCUUCCAGAGCUGUGAGACAGUACGUGUCUGUUGUGUAAGCCCCCUAGUCUGUGGCAUUCUGUUACUGCAGCCCCAGAAAAUGAAUACAAUGCUUGUCUGUGGCUCAUUGAUGCCUCCUCUCCAGGCCUUCUGGUUUCUGGAAUGCAGGGAAGAGUAGGGAGGGGCUGGCCUGUGACGCCUCUUCUGCUUUUGGCUUCUUUCCUUCGUUUGUUCUUGGUUGCUCCUUCCCUCCCUGGCCUCCUUUUCCUUCUGUCUUCCCUCCUGCUUCGUCACACUAGUUAUUACUUGCUCAGUAUGUCUCCCCUGCUGGACUGGAAGUCCAGGAAGCCAGUCCUGGGCCCUUGGGAGCACUCCAUACCUACGGGCCGUGAGAUACUUCAGACAGACACAAUUUCUCCCGGCGACAGGGGAGGAAGCCAAGGCCUUGAGCAAUUUUGUGUCCCAGGCUGGUGCUGCGUGCCUGGGAGCAGUGAUGUGCUGAUAAAUGUUUCACAAGUGGCUCUUUGGAAGAAAAGUCAUGAUCUGCAGUGUUUGCCAGUUUCCAUGGUGUAACUACUCACAGAAUGUCAGAUUUCAUGCUACCCACGUGAUGUUACUCAACGGAAAACUGGGAAGACUUCACAGUAACACUGCAUUGUGUGUCAUUUCCACCACACCCAUACAGACAUCAGAACCCUGAUCCCCAAAGAUGAUAGCAGCUCUGCUUGGUUCCUGUCUGAGCCUGGGUCUGGAUCUGGGAGGUGCUGGCGGGUCCCUGUGCUUCCGCUAUGGUGGAAAUCUGAUUGUCAUCAGCAUUGGGCCGCAUGCCAGAGGCUGCGGCAGUUCUGCGCCUGGCCUGGCCGGCCUCGGGGCUACCCGCCACCCCUCACGUCUUCCCUUCUGGCUCCUUGCACGUCGCUAGUCAGUCCGCGAACCCUGACUCUCCAGCAGUGAGCUGGGUAGACCUGGGCAAGCCUCUGCCCUUCUCUACUUCCCAGGGUACAGAGUGAGAUUCCACCUGUGGCUUGAUUCUCCUUCACAUCUUGCCCACCCAGGCUUCUGGCCGAACCUAGCAGCUUAAGUCAAAUUCAGCUGGAAGUUGGCUGCUGAAGGAGCUGUCUUUCACCCUCCAUAACUGAGGGCUUACUGUUCUUAACUGUUGCCAAGUGGGGGCUGUUUUCUUUGAGGGAGUUUUUUUCUUCUUUAACAAUUUUAUAUAUAAAAUAACAAAUGCAAACUAUGUAUUAUGAGACAUGCUGACAAAAUGAACAUCUGUGAACACACUAUCCCAUCUAAGAAUUAGAACAUUAUUAACAGGGUUGUAGAUGCCUAUCUGUUCUUUCCUGUUCUGUAUGCCUGUCUCCCCUGAAGAGAUAGCUGUUAUCCUGAGUUUUUGUGUUUGUUAUUUCCUUGCUUUAAAAAAGUAGCUUCAUCGGCUGGGCGUGAUCCCAGCACUUUGGGAGGUCGAGGCAGGUGGAUC
This is a long non-coding RNA of Chlorocebus sabaeus (green monkey), 1858 nucleotides long. RefSeq lists it as uncharacterized. Lineage: Eukaryota; Metazoa; Chordata; Mammalia; Primates; Cercopithecidae. The record is from RefSeq and is a predicted model, not a curated record.